AGCACACAACGCAAGUCAAGCACUGACUGGUCCCAAGUACUCAGAGAAGUGGAGUCAACCUCCUGUUAACAAAAGAGGAAUUCCAUCAUCUCCACUAGCUUUGCUCAUAGUGAUGCUUCCUAAGGCCCACUUGACUUCGCACUCCAGGAUGUCUGGCUCUAGGAACUGUCAGCAGAAAUCACAAAUGCCACUGAUGGACAAGAAUGUUUUUCUCGGGUGAGGCCCAGAAUGUAAGGUGGAAAAGAUCUUGGGAGGAAGUUAGUCCAGGGUUCAUACAUGGAAACAUCUCAAAGCAGCUCUCAACCACAUUCCAAGGCUCAUCACGGCAUGUACAGACCCAGGAACCUGAGUGACAGGCAACAUAAGCCGUCUUGUCAUGAAGACACCUCAGAACAUACACUGAAGCAGGCAGCACAGCUAGACCCAGGGGCUCCUAGAAACUGGAUUGGUGGAAAGGACUGGGGUGAUGGUGGUGAAAACGGUGGAGUGGAACGACUUCCUCUGGAUACAUGCCAAGCCUUCUCAAAUCUGUCUGCUAAGAUCCUGAGGGCAGAGGAGAAUGGACACCACUCCACUGCCAGCGAGGGCACAAGAGGCUCCUUCCCUGUUUUGUCUUAAAUUCAAAAUAACAAUCAGGGGAAAAUUGAUGCUCCCUUGCACCUUUGUGAAUGCAACCUGUUUGCCCCAAUCCCAAUUAGAAAAAUG
RNAcentral lists this long non-coding RNA (705 nucleotides) under Capra hircus (goat). Its description in RNAcentral is "lncRNA (ENSCHIG00000007055.1)". Lineage: Eukaryota; Metazoa; Chordata; Mammalia; Artiodactyla; Bovidae. The record is from RNAcentral.